UUUAAUCUGAAAAACCCUGACUUGGAGGAAACCGGAAGUCUCGUUGCUUCACUGUGAUCUCGGGCUGGCGGUGGGAUAGUUGUGUUGUUUAUUAGUGAGUUUUAAACAUAGACAGUAUAAGAACGGUUUUAAGAAGACAGAGCUCCAGAGUGAGUCCAGCAGCCCCAGUGGACAUCUGCUGGAUUUCAGGACAAGAGAGAAAUGGAGGAGGACAACCAGAACCAGGAGCAGCGGAGCAACAAGGUCCCCAGAAGACCAGCAGCAGACUGGGACUCUGAUACCAGCCAUGUUCAGGAGCCCUCAGCAGACGUCAAGCUGGCGACCGGAGCAGGAAAGAAGGGCAAGAAGGCAGAGGAGGAGGAGCAGCCUGCAGCACCUCCUGCAGCAGCAGUGAAGGAGGAGGAGGAGGAGGACGAGGAGCA
Molecule: long non-coding RNA, 422 nt
Organism: Perca fluviatilis (European perch)
Lineage: Eukaryota; Metazoa; Chordata; Actinopteri; Perciformes; Percidae
Exons: 3
Source: RefSeq, a predicted model, not a curated record